Molecule: long non-coding RNA, 1106 nt
Organism: Dromaius novaehollandiae (emu)
Lineage: Eukaryota; Metazoa; Chordata; Aves; Casuariiformes; Dromaiidae
Exons: 4
Source: RefSeq, a predicted model, not a curated record
CAUCAGUCACACCUCUGCAUUCAGCCAUGGUGGUGAUGACUCACAGACAGUGAAAGAUGCUGCUGAAUCCAAAGACUUCCUGAACUCCUGCAAAGAGCCAUCUUGGACAAAGGGAUCUGUGAAGACAUAUCAAGAGGAAAAUAUUUUGAAAGUAGAAGCAAUUAUUAACAUGGCGUAAUGAAAACCCAUCUUUCUGCAAACCGUGCUCUCCAACUCACCACCUCAACCUUCUCCAGCAGCUGCGAGCGAGCAAGCUGGAGAAGCAGAGGGAAACAGGUCCGACUGGAAGAACUGACAGAGCUUUACUAACCACCUGGGCAGAACAGAGGUGAGAUGAGCUUCUCAGUCCUCAGAAAGUGACUGCUGACACGCUCAGGAGAUGCAAUUGAGAAGAGGACUCCCUCUCUAUUGAGGAAGGCAAAGAGGAGGGACCAGGAAUAAAUGGACCGGUCUGAAAAGCAAAAGGGAGUGGAGUCAGUCUGGCAUCAGUGGGCCGUCGGAUGUCUCUCCAAACAGUGCUGAACUACAUGUGUAUUGGACUAGGUUGCUGAGGUACAUAAUUCCUGGAAGCAGUAGCUCCGUGAGCAUGGACAUAGAAGAACAAUAUCCAAGGACUAUCACAUGUGUCGUUCUAGAGCUGCCUUAGUCUUUCCUUCCACUGCUGCUGUUUGGAUUCAAUUCUGGGAAUCCUAUCAAAUAACAGAGUGGUACCAAAGGCAGUGUACAAGGCUUAUGGAUGGCAAACAUCUACACCUCUUUCCCUCUGUGUCCAAGGUAUCCAACUUUCCCAGAAUAAAUCAGCAUUAUCUCUUCUCUGCAUCUAAGAAAUAAGAAGAGGAAGGCUUAUAAGCAAGCCCAGAGUAAGUCAUCAAAGAGAAACAGUGUUGUGGCUAACCAGACUGGAAACUUUGGUGGUCAGGGAUUUCAGCUGCGACCGUGGCUGUUACAGCUCAGUGUGUUACAACAGUCCUGGUACAAAUUUAUUUCAGAUGAGUUUCAACCUCCCUUUUGCCAACAAGAAAGUGGUAAUCAAUAACAUUGACUUUUUAUUCAUUUUACUCUUUUCCUUAGUGUUAUACAACCACUUGUAACCUUACUUAUUUGGA